GACAGAGGGUGCAAACGUUGUUCGGAAUUACUGGGCGUAAAGCGCGUGUAGGCGGCAGGGCAUGUCGGAUGUGAAAUCCCGUGGCUCAACCACGGAAGUGCACCCGAAACUGCCCAGCUUGGGUCUCGGAGAGGAAGGCGGAAUGCUUGGUGUAGAGGUGAAAUUCGUAGAUAUCAAGCGGAACACCGGUGGCGAAGGCGGCCUUCUGGACGAUGACUGACGCUGAGACGCGAAAGCGUGGGGAGCAAACAGG
Molecule: ribosomal RNA, 253 nt
Filed under: uncultured bacterium
Lineage: Bacteria
Description: partial 16S ribosomal RNA
Rfam family: Bacterial small subunit ribosomal RNA
Source: RNAcentral